CCCUUAGAUGUUCUGGGCCACACGCGCGUUACACUGAUGAAGCCAGCGAGUAUAUCGCCUUCACCGGAAGGUGCGGGUAAUCUUGUGAAACUUCAUCGUGCUGGGGAUAGACCAUUGCAAUUAUUGGUCUUGAACGAGGAAUUCCUAGUAAGCAUGAGUCAUCAACUCGUGCUGAUUACGUCCCUGCCCUUUGUACACACCGCCCGUCGCUACUACCGAUUGAAUGGUUUAGUGAGAUCUCAGGAUUGGAGACGUUGCGCCGCAAGGCACAUCGUCCUCGAGAACUUGAUCAAACUUGAUCAUUUAGAGGAAGUAAAAGUCGUAACA
Molecule: ribosomal RNA, 327 nt
Filed under: uncultured eukaryote
Lineage: Eukaryota
Description: partial 18S ribosomal RNA
Rfam family: Eukaryotic small subunit ribosomal RNA
Source: RNAcentral